RNAcentral lists this ribosomal RNA (253 nucleotides) under uncultured bacterium. Its description in RNAcentral is "partial 16S ribosomal RNA". It matches the Rfam family "Bacterial small subunit ribosomal RNA", at positions 524 to 776 of the family's 1533-position model. The record is from RNAcentral.
UACGUAGGGUGCAAGCGUUAAUCGGACUUACUGGGCGUAAAGCGUGCGCAGGCGGCUUUGCAAGACAGAUGUGAAAUCCCCGGGCUUAACCUGGGAACUGCAUUUGUGACUGCAUGGCUGGAGUGCGGCAGAGGGGGAUGGAAUUCCGCGUGUAGCAGUGAAAUGCGUAGAUAUGCGGAGGAACACCGAUGGCGAAGGCAAUCCCCUGGGCCUGCACUGACGCUCAUGCACGAAAGCGUGGGGAGCAAACAGG